AGGGUCACCAUGCUCAAACUGUGCUGUUUUUGUCAUUUUGCAAGACAUGCCAGGGAAACACUAAUGCGUGAAGAUUGUGGGCAUUCAGAAUUCUAUUUCUGUCAUGUCAAAUUGCAUUAGUGAGGGGAUGCAGCCCAGAAUUGGUAUCAGACAAAGGAAAGAAAUAGAGUGUAGAAGAAGAGGUAUGUGCGGACAGAGGAAUGGAAAUGGGACAAUGGAACCAUCGUUUACUACUGAAAGAUGGCCUAGAGAUCAAUAUUCAUCCAAUUAAUCACUUUUGGUCUCUUACGAAACUAUCAGCAAAAUGUUAAAAAAAAAAGGAAAUAAACUUCCAAAAAUCAA
Long non-coding RNA from Xenopus tropicalis (tropical clawed frog), 342 nucleotides. RefSeq lists it as uncharacterized. The transcript is spliced from 2 exons. NCBI's taxonomy places the organism in Eukaryota, Metazoa, Chordata, Amphibia, Anura, Pipidae. The record is from RefSeq and is a predicted model, not a curated record.